Long non-coding RNA from Perognathus longimembris pacificus (Pacific pocket mouse), 2532 nucleotides. RefSeq lists it as uncharacterized. Lineage: Eukaryota; Metazoa; Chordata; Mammalia; Rodentia; Heteromyidae. The transcript is spliced from 3 exons. The record is from RefSeq and is a predicted model, not a curated record.
CAGAGAGAGAGAGACACAGAGAGAUAGAGACAGAGAGAAAUGACUGCCUCCUCUCUGUCUUCUUUUCCCUUCAGUUUUUUAAAACAGCAGCACAUUUUAGAAGGAUUUAGAAGGGCUGCUAAAGGCUAUGACAAAAGGCCCCAAACAUAACAAUCCCACUGUAGAGAAAAAUCCCAGGUCUGGGAAUCCCAGAAAAAUUAGCUCAGAAUUGAGUAAGUUUGACAUUGAAAAUAAACGGAUGUAGACAGGGACAGAAAUUAUUUUUGUUGCCCAGGGUGCAUUUCCCCCCCCCCCCCCAGCUCUCAGGAAUAGCAAGUGGGAAGAACAACGGGCUGAGGAGAACUCAGGCAAGAACUAUCUUGUUGAGAUAAAGGAUGGUUGAGCAGGGAGCACACAUUUGCUUUUACUCUUAAGAGAGAAAGGAAGAGAUCUUUUCUUUUUAAGCUCUCCUCCAGGUUAAGAUGCUUUUCUACAUAUAUAUCAUUUAGCCAUUCUCUGGACAAACCCACACCUCCACUUGGGUCUGCCUUCCAGAGGACUGACACCUCACAAACGAUUCUCUUUUUUAGUGAUCCUCAGAUCUCAGCCUCCCGAGUAGCUAGGAUUUGUAUGCUGGAGCUAUUGGCAGCUGGCAUACUAUUCUCUUAAGAGCGUCUCUUCAAGUCUCCUGAAGAAUUAACUGCUCCUGCCUUUGGGCUUCCAGAGCAAAUUGCUUGUACUUGGGCAGGUUAUAUACCCUCUUCAUCAUAGUGAGUUGUUUACCGCCACCUCCUACACAAGACGGUAAUGCCCAUUAGGAUAGGGAGUUAGGAUAGGGAAUAAGACUUGUUGUUUGUUUAUAUUUACCACUUCCCCUGUGCCUCUUCUCAUAGCACAUAGCAGAAUGACUGUCACACAGGAAAUCUACCCUCUCCCCAAAAUGCUUGUUGAGUGAAAACCACAGUUGUUUGAGUGUGGAUUAUCCACUGGGUAGUUCCCUAUAAUGAAUGUUUAAUUCGUAGUCUGGUUGCCCUUCCAGAUCAGCUCCUCACACUAUCACUUAAUAUGUGCUCAGAGAAUGCAAACACUUUUUUUAAUAUUAUCUUCCCUAGAACAUAAUUAGGUGCUGCUAAAAAUUCAUUAUCGUGCUUUGCAAUGCCAAAAAGAAAUGACUUUUGCAUUAUCCACGCCACUGCUUUUCUACAGUGGAGUGGGUAGACUGAGAUGCGAGCAGUCUUAGUGUAACUGAUGAUGAGACCACCAUCAAAGGCAGGUGGACACCAGGUUCUGAUGGCUCACGCUUGUAAUCCUAGCUACUCAGGAGGCUGAGAUCUGAGGAGUGUGGCUUGAAGCGAGCCUGAGAAGAGUCCCUGAGACUCUUACUCCAGUUAACCAGCAGAAAGCUGACAGUGGAAUAAUUUCGUUCAAGUGGUAGAAUACUGGCCUUGAGUGGAACAGCCAUGUGAGAGAAUUAAGGCCCUGGGUUCAAGUUCUAGUACUGGUAUGUGCGUGCACAUACAAAGAGCAGUUAGGUUGGUGGUGACUGAGGAGGAAGAACAGUGGCCCUGUCCUCUGUCAUUCUUCUGGGUUGCUAAGUGUCCUGGAAUUUGCACAGAACACAUAGCAUUGGGGCCCACCCUCAACAGUUACCUAAAAAAUGGCCACUGAGGGCUGGCAUCAAGGAAGGGAUCACAACUAAAACCUCAAAAAUUUAGUCAUCAGAAAGGCUAACCCAAGGCUCCUAAUUUUUUUGUUUGUUUGUUUGUUCUGCAAUGGGAUUAUGAAAUUCUUUCUGUUCUUCCUCAGACUUUUGUGUCCCACCUUCUUGUCUCCUGCAUACUUUUGGGGAGGUGACUGGAAUUUGUUUUUCAUUGCGCCAUAUGUAGCUCUUCCACCACAAAGAGCAGCAGCAUUUGGCUGACUGUGUGAGGCCAACAUGUCUCUUUCAGUCCUCUGGUGGAAGGCCCUGACUCUGGGUGUUGGGGCUAGGCUAUUGCUGGAGUCUUCAUUUCAGUUUCCUUCCUGACUCUGCUGUGGAUGAGCUGUGCGGUUUUUGAAGAUGCUGUUUAAGUUCCCUGGGCAUUGGUAACUCCCAAUGAGAGGAACCUGGGUUAAGGCAGAUGCUCUUUUUAGCUGUUACUUUUUCCAUAGUCUAUAAUUGAGGUUGAAAAGAAAUGUGCAUACACAUGAUUUUUUUAAAUGAAUACUAUUUGCUCUCUAUGAUAGGUUAUAGGAUACAUAUAUAUCAAAUGUUUUCAAUUCUCCCUCCUCCUUCCUGAGAAAGACUACUAGGCUCCCAGAGGUUCUGUGGGCAUGGCUGCUCUGGUAUGUGCAGUGCAAAGGGUUUUCCUUAGUCCCUUCUUGUUGGUCACAGAGGCAAAUUAUGUCUAUUGUUCCCAGGAUAUAUAUAUGCAACUGUGGAUAAAUAUAAUGCAACCUGAGGUGCUAAGUAGUGAUGGGACAGGAAAUAGUACUGGGUGGGGAGCGUGUGGCUGCUGCUGGUUUGGCCAGGCUUCCUUAAAGAAGUAAGCUUGGAGCAGCAGCAGGGCUCAG